Manis pentadactyla (Chinese pangolin) is the source of this 5083-nucleotide long non-coding RNA. RefSeq lists it as uncharacterized. Lineage: Eukaryota; Metazoa; Chordata; Mammalia; Pholidota; Manidae. The transcript is spliced from 3 exons. The record is from RefSeq and is a predicted model, not a curated record.
GGAUUUGGCAAAAGAUGAUGGUGAGCAGGAGAAAGAGAAGCCUUUUGGCAGGGCUAGAAUCCUCGACUGGCAGCUGGCGCCGGACCUGACAAGAGAUAACACAGGGAAGAGGUCAGAGCGGAGAGCCGAGUGUAGGCCCGUGGCCGUACAGACCUAAUUAUGUACGCUGAGAAUUGGGCGGGACCUGCUUAACUCCACCCGAGGCUGGGAGCAGUUGGCUGGAGCAGCUGGAAAUUCCGACUCCACGAGAAGGGGUGGAGACUUGGCCUGUGCAACCUUAGGCACUCAAGUGUGUGUUGUGAGCCUGUGCGCCGUGCUGUGGGCCAGGAAUCCAGACGGAGCACAGUACAGGUGGCUCGUCUCUGCUCCAUGAUGCCUGAGUUUGCAGGUGGAAGACUCCAAAGCCGGGGAUUGAAAUGGUCAGCAGGAUUUUUUGCUUACAAGACUGGCAGUGGAUGCUGGCUAUUGGCUGGGGGCUUAGUUCCUCUCUCCAUGGUCUAGGGUGGGCUUCUCUUGCAUGGUGGCUGGCUUACUGAGAGAAAGAACCAGGCCCGAGUGGUAUUUUUAUGACCCCACCUUUUUAUGACCUACAUUGCUUUCCCCCAACCCCACUAGUCAGAGCAGUCAUAGUCCCACCGAGAUUCAAGGGGAGGGAACAUGUCCCCACCCUGGAGGCUGAUGUGUCACCCUGGACAAGAAGAGCAUGGGGAGAGGAAGGGCAUCCAUCUUUGGAAAAUGUAAUCUUCCAUACUCUGUCAGAACUCUCCAUUUGCUUCUUAGGAGUGGUCCCUUUAUGCAGCAAUUGUCAAUAAUAACAGCAAUGGAAGAACUUCCUGAGGGCAGAGAUCAGGCCUGUUACUUUUUAUCUUUAUAACCUCAGCAUUUGGUCAGUAAUAGGCUCAUAACAGAUACCUGUGGAAGGAAGAACUGCUUUUGAAGUCUAUCAGCAAUUUUUCAUAUACACUGCAUCAUUUGAUCUGAAUCAGCCAUCAUGACCAUUUCACAGUUGAAGAAACAGAGGCCUACAGGAGUAAGUGGGCUACUCCCGAUGACUUAGCUAGCAAGAGCUUGGCUGUGACAUGAGCCCAGGUCUUCUGGGUUGAUGUUACCUGUAUUAAGAACUUGAUGCCUCCAAAGGGCAAAUGAAAUUCCUACGGUCCGGGACUGCUCCUUUGGCGCCCCUGCCUCCUCUAGCCUCAGAGCAGCACAGGGCCAAUCGCAGGCUAUGGACAUAGCUCCCUCAGAGCUGUGCAUACUGGUCCUGCAUCUGAUACACCCAUUUGACAUGAUGUCUUAAUAUGAUUUUACAUCUCUUUUCCUGUGGGCUCAAUGAAGGGCUUGGACACAGACUCUGACACUGCUUUCAGCUUCCAGGAUGGGUAGAAGGCCAGGAUGAAGUUGCUCCUCAAAUCUCUGUGCUGGCAGUGAGCAGGCAGCACCCACAACAGGAGUAAGAAGUGUCAGGGAGCAUUCAUGUGGAGCAAUCAGAUGAUGAUCUGAGGUAACUGCAUAGGAAGAGGGGAAAACCUGGAACAGAAGUGGCUGAGGCAGUUCCAGGAGGUCCAGCUCAGGGGAGAGGGGAUCCAAUUUCCACCGCCUCCUCAAUUCACUUCCCAGCCCUAAAAAUGCUCUCAGCCUCAGAGGGAAAUCCUGGCAAAGUAGCCCGUGAGGGUGCAGGGGUGUUUAUCAAGAUUGGGAGUGGGUGGGAGCAGAUCUUAGAACUUGCAUCAGGCCUCCAUUUUCCAAAUCCGGCUUGUGCCCUGCCACCCCCUCCCCCCAAACCGAUCUGACUUUAUCUCUUUAGAGAUGUCCCUGAGUUAGCAGUUUCUUUCUCAGAUAUUGCAGAUCAGGAAGGACUUUUGGAAACCACAGUUUCCACUUCCGCUGUGGGGGCAGAAAGCAUGGGCAGCCUAACCCCCUGGUGCUUGGGAAGUAACAAGAAGGACCAAAGGCAGCUCCUUCAUGUGGGACUCCUGCCCAUACCAGGUCUCCACUCUCCUGUACCAGCCCUCCGGGGACCUCUUAGGCCAUCUCUUCCCUCUGGUUUCUCCCCAGCCUGUUCCCCUCUGCUAGCAUGUUCUCUGGCUCUGGCGUUCUCUUCUGAACGUAGCUUUCUGUGACUUCCCACAUCAUCCCGACUUCUGGGCCUCACCUUUGUGGACCUUGGUGGACUGGCUUUGACUGUAUCAUUUGUGAGUCAGCUUUGCUGCUUUGUUCCGGCCCCACCAAUGUGCUUAUGCUCUCCUCCACGUAGGAAUUACUCAUUGCUUAUGUCACCAAUCCCAGUGGAAUGUGCCCCCUCCUCUGUGACACCCAUUCACCACACAUCCUUUAUUACUUUGUUUAAACUAACAAUGCUGUUUUCCCCCCUUCUGAUGAUUAAAAUGAUAUGUGUUUGUUAUGGAAAAUCUGUAAACUACAAAAGGUAUAUGAAAGAAAAUUAACAGUACCCGUAAUUCCAGCCCAAAUAUAAGAAACAUUUCAUGCUGGUGGGUUUCCUUCUAGUAUUCUCGGCUGUGCUUCAGCCUGCCUCAGGCCUCCAUGCAUGCCAAUUAUUCCUUCUACCUCCAAAUCUCUCCCUCUGCCUUUUCCCUCCCCACCCCCACCAGCUUUCUCUCUUCCCUCCCUCAUUCUGCCAGUAAAUCAACUCAUCCUUAAUAUCGUAAAGGUCCUUCUUUCAAAAAACCUUCAUCUACCCCCUGGUUAGGUCUUCCUGUCAGACACUCACAGUCCCCAGUACUUUUCCUUGUAGCAAAACUGGAAAUAAACGGUUGGUUUUGUACUCAAGUGUUUAACGUCUGUCUCAGCAACUUGACUUGACAUAAGUCCAUGAUUGGCUUUCUUGUUUAUCCUUUGACCCAGUCAUUCACCACAGUGCCCUGUGUACAGAAAACACACAGCACUUCACACCAAAACACCUUCCUAGAAGAGCCAUGUGUCUGUCCUCUCCAUACUUUAAAAAAGUCAAUUUAAUAAAAACAGUGAACUAAUUGCCAUAUGUCUGACCUAGUUCCAUGUACAGGGUGCCAGCUCUUGUCCUCAAGGAGCCCUAUGUCUUUUAAGGGUGACAAUGAGUAAGCGGAGCAUUCUGAUAUAUCCUUAAAUAUAAGGUGACCAAUAGUUAAGUAAAGCGUGGAGGAAGGGUCCCUAAGCUAGCCUUGGGGAGGUGACACUGUUGUUUUAAUGUGUCCUUGUCAAUGUAUUUACUUUAGAGAAUAAUCAUAGGAUGACUGAAUUGGAUGGAAUUGUGAGAUCACCAGCCCCACCUCUCUCUGUAAGUGAUGGGACUUGGCCAAAACCAUCUGGUAAUUUACUGGUGGCAAAUCUGGGAUUAGAACCUCAAUCUGAGCUUCUUCAGCCCUGUGCUCUUUCCUGUUACUUUGGGGGCCUUUGGAGUUCUCCCAGUCUUCCUCCCAUUCUAUUAAUCACCAAGUCCUGUUGAUUUUACCUUAUAAAGGCCUCUCGGCCUGUCCACUUCUCCUCAUUUCUUCCAUCAUCUCCAGCCCGGACACCUAUGCUCACCUCCUACCGUGUCUCUCUGCUUCUGGUCUUGCCCCGCUCAGAUCCCUUCUUUACUUUGCAGUCAGAGUGAGCCUUCACAGACAGAAGUGUGAGCGUGUCUAUCCCCAGCUUAAAACCCACUGAGCUUUUAGGAAUAUGUUCAAAAUUCUUAAUAUGUUGUAGUAGUCUGCUCAGGCUGCCAUAACAAGAUACCACAGAUUGGAUGGCUUAAACAACAGAAAUGUAUUUCUCACAACUCGGCAGACUCUAAGUCCAAGGUAAGGUGCCGGUAAGGUAGGCUUAAUGCUGAGUCCUCUUUACUUGAGUUGUGGUGCUUGCUAUCCUCCCUGGUGCUCAUAGGGCCUCUUCUUGGUGUGCACUUGGAGGGAAAGCUCUUAUAUCUCCUCCUUCUUUUAUAAAGACACCAAUCCUAUCAGAUUAGGGCUCCAUUCUUAGGACUGCAUUUAACAUUAAUGACCUUCUGAAGACCCUAUCUCCAAAUCUAGUCACAUUGAAAUUUAGUCUUCAGCAUAUGAAUUUUGGUGGGGGCACAAUUCAGUUCAUAGUAUGUGGUCCACCAGGCUCUUCUCAAUCCAGCCCACCUUACCAGAUUCUUCUAAGCCCCACUCUCCUUUCGGCCUCUAGGCUUCUGCAUCUUGAGUUUCUCUUGGUUCCUUGAACUUGUUCAGCUCUCUUGCAGCUCUGAUCUCCCCAGCAGCCUGCCUUCUUCUUCUGCCUGCCUUACUCCUAUUUAGUCUUUGUAAGGAAAAAGUCUAUCUAGCCUUAGAGCAAGCAUAUAUAGUUUUGCCUUCUUUUGCCCUGAAUUCACCAAGACAUCAUAGAACCUGUCUUCAAUCUUUUUGAGAACACCUGCUCUUUUGAGACCCAAAGAUGACCAGCUAUAAAGUAGAGGGUACAACCCCCUCUGUGAGCUAGAGAUGGGCACUCAACUCCUGCCUUACUGGUGGGCUUCCUCCUUUGGCACCUAUAUCUAGUGCUUUCAAUUUCUGCUUAGGGAGACCCACUGAAUUCAUUUCUUUAGGGACAUGGCUCUCCCUUGCCUAUUAAGCAAUAAACUCAGCUCCUGCCCCACCAGUUCUGAUGUUUCUAUGUUUUAGUUAGUCACUUUCAAGUCUUAUUUUAAGUGUCAGUUUCUAAGGAAAGCUUUCCCUGAUCCUCCGUCCUGUGUUUAGUCCUCUGGCUCUACAUCCUAAGGCAGCCUGUAUGCCCCCUUUUGUAAAACUCACCACCUCAUUCCCAUAUGUUUCAUGUCUGUCCUUCUGAGCUCUGUAACGUAGGAUGCAUCUCUGGCUGGUUGCAGUACUCCCAGAGCUAGUACAGUGUCAGGCUCCUGGAAAGCUGUCAGUAAAUAUUAGCUUUUAUUAGUAGAUGCUCCAUAGAUACCUAUUGGCCUGAGUUAUCCUCAAAUAGUUUCCCAAAUAGUAUAAGCAUUUUGUUGUCUAAAUUGGACUGAAAUUUCUCAGAAGGAUCCUUUCUAUUCCUUAAAGAAACUCUCCCACACUCUGCCCUCCUGGGCUUCUUCAUCCAAGAAACAUUUCAUGAAUGAUUAUUAAUUGAUUUA